RNAcentral lists this ribosomal RNA (1044 nucleotides) under symbiont of Haemaphysalis concinnae. RNAcentral's name for it is "bacterial SSU rRNA". It matches the Rfam family "Bacterial small subunit ribosomal RNA", at positions 433 to 1471 of the family's 1533-position model. The record is from RNAcentral. Lineage: Bacteria; Pseudomonadati; Pseudomonadota; Gammaproteobacteria; Legionellales; Coxiellaceae.
CUUUCAGUGGGGAAGAAAUUCUCAAGGCUAAUAACCUCGAGCGUUGACGCUACCCACAGAAGAAGCACUGGCUAACUCUGUGCCAGCAGCCGCGGUAAUACAGAGAGUGCAAGCGUUAAUCGGAAUUACUGGGCGUAAAGCGCGCGUAGGUGGAUAUUUAAGUCGGAUGUGAAAGCCCCAGGCUCAACCUGGGAACUGCAUCCGAUACUGAGCAUCUCGAGUAUAGUAGAGGGAAGUGGAAUUUCCGGUGUAGCGGUGAAAUGCGUAGAUAUCGGAAAGAACAUCAGUGGCGAAGGCGGCUUCCUGGACUAAUACUGACACUGAGGCGCGAAAGCGUGGGGAGCAAACAGGAUUAGAGACCCUGGUAGUCCACGCCGUCAACGAUGAGAACUAGCUGUUAGAAGGUUUACUUUCUAGUAGCGAAGUUAACACGUUAAGUUCUCCGCCUGGGGAGUACGACCGCAAGGUUAAAACUCAAAGAAAUUGACGGGGGCCCGCACAAGCGGUGGAGCAUGUGGUUUAAUUCGAUGCAACGCGAAGAACCUUACCUACCCUUGACAUCCUUGGAACUUGUCAGAGAUGACUUGGUGCCUUUUGGAACCGAGUGACAGGUGCUGCAUGGCUGUCGUCAGCUCGUGUCGUGAGAUGUUGGGUUAAGUCCCGUAACGAGCGCAACCCUUAUCCUUAGUUGCCAGCGGUUUGGCCGGGAACUCUAAGGAGACUGCCAGUGAUAAACUGGAGGAAGGUGGGGAUGAUGUCAAGUCAUCAUGGCCCUUAUGGGUAGGGCUACACACGUGCUACAAUGGGCAUUACAAAGGGUUGCCAAACCGCGAGGUGGAGCUAAUCCCAAAAAGUUGCUCGUAGUCCGGAUUGGAGUCUGCAACUCGACUCCAUGAAGCUGGAAUCGCUAGUAAUCGCAAAUCAGAAUGUUGCGGUGAAUACGUUCUCGGGCCUUGUACACACCGCCCGUCACACCAUGGGAGUGAAUUGUACCAGAAGCGGGUAGGUUAACCUUUUGGAGGCCGCUCACCACGGUAUGAUUCA